UAGUAUCAGCGUGUCAGCCGCCGCGGUAAUACGUAGGGUGCGAGCGUUAAUCGGAAUUACUGGGCGUAAAGCGAGCGCAGGCGGUUCUGUAAGUCAGAUGUGAAAUCCCCGGGCUCAACCUGGGAACUGCGUUUGAAACUACAGGGCUAGAGUAUGGGGAGAGGGGGGUAGAAUUUCCACGUGUAGCAGUGAAAUGCGUAGAGAUGUGGAGGAAUACCAAUGGCGAAGGCAGCCCCCUGGCCUAAUACUGACGCUCAUGCUCGAAAGCGUGGGGAGCAAACAGGAUUAGAUACCCCUGGUAGUCCACGCCCUAAACGAUGUCUACUAGUUGUUGGUGGAGUAAAAUCCAUUAGUAACGCAGCUAACGCGUGAAGUAGACCGCCUGGGGAGUACGGUCGCAAGAUUAAAAACUCAAAUGAAUUGACGGG
This 428-nucleotide ribosomal RNA is filed under the name uncultured bacterium. Its description in RNAcentral is "bacterial SSU rRNA". It matches the Rfam family "Bacterial small subunit ribosomal RNA", at positions 495 to 917 of the family's 1533-position model. The record is from RNAcentral.